AGGUAAUUGAAGCAGAUAUUUAUGAAGUCAUUGGGAGGUGAACUACCUCCAAUUCAACAGGCAGCAUCAUUUGAGGCAAGCAUUGGAACAGCAGCUGGGCAUGGAUUUCUCUCCUCUUGCCCCUUUAGUCUUGGACAUAUUUUUAUGGACUAAAUUCCAAAAUGGACCAGCAGAAAUUGUUUUGAGACAAUACCACAAUGCUCCAAACUUAACAAUACUUAGGAAGUUUCUUUGAGAAACUCAGUUUUUAAAGAAGAUUGAACUCUGCAUCACUCCUAAGUUAUUAUUUUAUUCAAACCAAAUAUAGCUACAAAUUUCUAUGCAUUGUAUUGUCCACCUGCCUCAGAUCUAUAACUCUCUAGGUUAUUUUGGACUGAGAUUUAAAUCUCGGCUCAGUCAGGACAUGGUGUUCCAACUUUCAGUUGUUGGAACAUGACCCUGGGUUUGCUCUUUAGAAUGUCUACUUGAUGUAUAAUUAAAUAUGGAAACGCUUAUAGCUCUUGUAGUUCGGUAUGUAAUUAUUGUUUGCCUAUGUAAAUUGGAUUACUUAAAUUGUCAUUGGUUGUUUUAUACUUCAGUUAAGAGGAGUAUGUAAGGACGUUUAUAUUAUAAAAGAAAUUGCAUUACCCGUGAUACUCUUACGUGGCUUGAUUCGAUUUAGGCAUUAGAAUUUAUAUUGGUGUAAAUUAAGACUUGCAUGUUACUCUGUCUUACUCAUCCUUGUCGAAUGUAAUAGGGGAAUUUACUGUUUGUAACUUGAACAAAAAUACUUUACAAAUUAAAAAUACUGUUGCUAUUUUAAAUGUUUAUCAACUCAUUUUAAAUACAUAAAACAUUUUAAAAAGCAUUACAUUUUAGUAAACCUACUAUAUAGAAGAUACAAUAUUAAUCUCUUCACUUCUCAUAUGAAAUUAUAUAAUUUCCUUUCACCUCUAUGUAAACUAUCAAGUUUUUUUUUAAAAUAGCAGUGUUCUUUUAUGAUCUGUUUUCUGUGCUUGCCUAACCCGUUAGUGAUGCCACAUUCUUGUCUUUGUUAUAGCAUAACCGUCAUGGAAGGUAUUUUGAUGUAAUGAACAUCUAAGUUAUGGGCAUCGCUGAAUGAAUCUGGCAAGAUGAGAAGGCUGGUUUAAAAAUAAAUUUGUAAAAGGAA
This is a long non-coding RNA of Gopherus flavomarginatus (Mexican gopher tortoise), 1150 nucleotides long. RefSeq lists it as uncharacterized. NCBI's taxonomy places the organism in Eukaryota, Metazoa, Chordata, Testudines, Testudinidae. The transcript has 2 exons. The record is from RefSeq and is a predicted model, not a curated record.